Molecule: ribosomal RNA, 377 nt
Filed under: uncultured bacterium
Lineage: Bacteria
Description: bacterial SSU rRNA
Rfam family: Bacterial small subunit ribosomal RNA
Source: RNAcentral
UAAGACAGAGGGUGCAAACGUUGUUCGGAAUUACUGGGCGUAAAGCGCGUGUAGGCUGCUCGGAAAGUCGGAUGUGAAAGCCCUGGGCUCAACCUAGGAAGUGCAUUCGAAACUUCCGAGCUGGAGUGCUGGAGAGGAAGGCGGAAUUCUCGGUGUAGAGGUGAAAUUCGUAGAUAUCGAGAGGAACACCGGUGGCGAAGGCGGCCUUCUGGACAGCCACUGACGCUGAGACGCGAAAGCGUGGGGAGCAAACAGGAUUAGAUACCCUGGUAGUCCACGCCGUAAACGAUGGGUGCUAGGUGUCGCGGGCUUUGACCCCUGCGGUGCCGUAGCUAACGCAUUAAGCACCCCGCCUGGGGAGUACGGCCGCAAGGCUA